AUCAGCUGGGUGAAGACAAUGCCCGCCACCCGAAUCCGACAUACAAGCCACCCACCACAAACUCGAGUCAGGAAUCCUGAGUUGCUUGUAUCAUGCACAGUCAGUACAGUAUCAUACUUUGUCUAGUCUGGAAGAGUACAAGGGUGGGACCAACUUAGCCAUGCGACCUGAGCACUCUCUCGUGCGUAUUAGCAAGUCUUGCAAGACUAGACCAAUGGUAGACCAGCCCCUGUGGUUACCUGUCUGACGCCCCAAGUGUCGCGUCUAGUCUGCCAGCCGUCUGAGGUGACAGACUCACCUCGCGACUCCCCCUGCAGUAUCAAACGACAUCACGGCCGAGUUCUUUGUACUUUUGAUAAGCCGGAUCUUACCCAAGACUACAGGAUCUUAUUGGUGCCAUCAAGCCCGGAUCAACUGCAGCUGCAAUGUUCAUGAUAAAUUCGAAUAAAUGGUACCCAGGCUACGAUCAAAGCAGAUUCUUCAACAAAUAAACUAAACUAGUAAGACAUGGCCUACUUUCGUAAAAUCAAGUCGAUAGAUAUCUUCUCUUGAGGGUGGAUGAUAUUGAUUUUAUAUAACUAAGAGGCAAGAUGUUACGAUUAGACAAACAACAUGUCAUGCCAUUUUGCAGAGCGGCACAAUAAAAUCACCUCUUCAGGUGAUCUGUCAUCGUCUACACCAGACACUAAUAGUGACAGUGAGAUCGUGUGGCGGCGCUUUGGGUUCAGGCCCAAGAGGUUCCGAGUUCGAAACCUGCCAUGUUACCGAUCUUGUGCCCUUGGGAAAGGCACUUUACACGACUUUCCUCACUUCACUCGGGUGAAAAAUGAGUGCCUAGCUUCGGCUAGGGUCGUUCCUCGGUUAGAAGUUAAAUGGAGGUUCCGGGAGAGUAUCGAAAAGAGCAGGGGUCCUUCCCGGUGUGAGUAGUUCAAACAUUACGGCCUGGUCUCCGGGCUGACAUCUUGCAAAGGUGAUAGUCACCUGUUAUGUCAAUCCUUCUACAAAUGUGGCAAAACUGAAUAAAGAAAUAGACAGUCAGAAAACGUGAUACCGAGAAUAUGUGUCCAGAAUGCUGUACGGUGUCAUGUUACAAAAUCUGGUGAUAACUGUUAUGCUUCGUUUCUCUUAUCCAUUGCUUAUAUCAUGUCAUAAUAAAGUAUUCUCCCUAGCAGCUACGAUGUAGCAGCUUUGGAAGAUCUGGAAUACGGUCUGAUUCCAGGUCCAGAAAGUUGGAAACGUUGUAACUUAUAUCCUACAUUGAUUGUUUUCCUCGAUAUAUCUAAAAUACAGCAGAAUAAGUAUGACUAUGCCCUUAUUACAAUUCCCUUGGGAUAGAUAUUCAUUUAAAUGACAUGCAGUAAAAGUACAGGAACAUCCGUAAUGUCUUUUUUCAAUUGUAGAUGCGAUCAAAUAUAAUGGUUUUAUAUACCAUAGUAAUUACAAGGCAUAUAAAUAGCGUAGCUAGCCUUUACGAGCGAGACCUGAAUAAGUCCACUUAUGAGAAAAAUUAUAGAGGGAUGUGGGUAAAAAUGGCUGCAGUUUCCUCUAUGUACAGGCGACAAUUUCUAAUUAAGGUUAACACUUUUGUACCAUUUGCGGUCAAUAAUGCGCGGCCCCGGCACAUCUGACAUAGUUUACACAUGGUGAUUUCUGGACGUAAAUUUACUCUCUUGGGAUUCUAAAAAGCUUGUACGUUUCUUGUGAUUGAGUUGGUCAUUAGAU
Molecule: long non-coding RNA, 1722 nt
Organism: Branchiostoma floridae (Florida lancelet)
Lineage: Eukaryota; Metazoa; Chordata; Leptocardii; Amphioxiformes; Branchiostomatidae
Exons: 3
Source: RefSeq, a predicted model, not a curated record